This 1258-nucleotide ribosomal RNA is filed under the name metagenome. RNAcentral's name for it is "bacterial LSU rRNA". It matches the Rfam family "Bacterial large subunit ribosomal RNA", at positions 1688 to 2925 of the family's 2925-position model. The record is from RNAcentral.
CUUCGAGUGAACCAUGGUUAAGGAACUCGGCAAAAUGCCCCCGUAACUUCGGGAGAAGGGGGGCCGGAUACGUUACAUGGCUUGCCCAUGGAAGCGUUGAUGGCCGCAGAGACCAGGCCCAAGCGACUGUUUACUAAAAACACAGGUCCGUGCGAAGAAGUAAUUCGAUGUAUACGGACUGACGCCUGCCCGGUGCUGGAACGUUAAGGGGACAGGUUAGCUGGUUUAGGCCGGCGAAGCUUUGAACUUAAGCGCCAGUAAACGGCGGUGGUAACUAUAACCAUCCUAAGGUAUCGAAAUUCCUUGUCGGGUAAGUUCCGACCUGCACGAAUGGCGUAACGACUUGGGCGCUGUCUCAACCAUGGACUCGGCGAAAUUGCAUUACGAGUAAAGAUGCUCGUUACGCGCAGCAGGACGGAAAGACCCCGGGACCUUUACUACAACUUGGUAUUGGUGGUCGGUACAACUUGUGUAGGAUAGGUGGGAGACUGUGAAGCUCGGACGCCAGUUCGGGUGGAGUCAUCGUUGAAAUACCACUCUGGUUGUUCUGGCUGUCUAACUUAGGUCCAUUAUCUGGAUCAGGGACAGUGCCUGGUGGGUAGUUUGACUGGGGCGGUCGCCUCCUAAAAGGUAACGGAGGCGCUCAAAGGUUCCCUCAGCCUGGUUGGCAAUCAGGUGUCGAGUGUAAGUGCACAAGGGAGCUUGACUGUGAGACAGACAUGUCGAGCAGGGACGAAAGUCGGAACUAGUGAUCCGGCGGUGGCAUGUGGGAGCACCGUCGCUCAACGGAUAAAAGGUACCCCGGGGAUAACAGGCUGAUCUUCCCCAAGAGUCCAUAUCGACGGGAUGGUUUGGCACCUCGAUGUCGGCUCGUCGCAUCCUGGGGCUGGAGUAGGUCCCAAGGGUUGGGCUGUUCGCCCAUUAAAGCGGCACGCGAGCUGGGUUUAGAACGUCGUGAGACAGUUCGGUCCCUAUCCGCUGCGCGCGCAGGAGACUUGAGAAGGGCUGCCCCUAGUACGAGAGGACCGGGGUGGACGAACCUCUGGUGUGCCAGUUGUUCCGCCAGGAGCACGGCUGGUUGGCUACGUUCGGGAGUGAUAACCGCUGAAAGCAUCUAAGCGGGAAGCACGCUUCAAGAUGAGGUCUCCCACCGAGUUAAUCGGGUAAGGCCCCCAGUAGACCACUGGGUUGAUAGGCCAGAAGUGGAAGCACCGUAAGGUGUGGAGCUGACUGGUACUAAUAGGCCGAGGGCUUGUCU